Homo sapiens (human) is the source of this 6730-nucleotide RNA transcript. It is a transcript of the gene named tetratricopeptide repeat domain 17, with no coding region annotated. The transcript is spliced from 25 exons. NCBI's taxonomy places the organism in Eukaryota, Metazoa, Chordata, Mammalia, Primates, Hominidae. The record is from RefSeq and is marked validated.
GCUUCCGGUGUGAGCGGCCCGGCCGGGGGGGCAAGAUGGCGGCGGCAGUAGGGGUUCGUGGCCGGUACGAGCUGCCGCCUUGCUCCGGCCCAGGCUGGCUCCUCAGCCUUUCCGCCUUGCUGAGUGUGGCGGCACGAGGGGCCUUCGCCACCACGCACUGGGUCGUCACGGAGGACGGGAAAAUCCAGCAGCAGGUGGAUUCACCAAUGAACUUGAAGCAUCCUCAUGACCUAGUCAUAUUAAUGAGACAAGAAGCAACAGUUAACUACCUCAAAGAAUUAGAGAAACAAUUAGUUGCUCAAAAAAUUCACAUAGAAGAGAAUGAGGACAGAGACACAGGACUGGAACAGAGACAUAAUAAAGAAGACCCAGACUGCAUCAAAGCCAAGGUGCCCUUAGGGGACCUGGAUCUAUAUGAUGGCACAUACAUAACUUUGGAGAGCAAAGACAUCAGUCCUGAAGAUUAUAUAGACACAGAAUCUCCUGUCCCUCCAGACCCAGAGCAACCUGAUUGUACUAAAAUUCUAGAACUUCCAUAUAGUAUACAUGCUUUUCAGCACUUGAGAGGUGUACAGGAGAGAGUUAAUCUUUCUGCACCUCUGCUACCUAAAGAAGACCCAAUCUUCACAUAUUUAUCUAAACGGUUAGGAAGGAGUAUAGAUGACAUAGGUCACCUCAUUCAUGAAGGCCUACAGAAGAACACUUCCUCGUGGGUACUGUAUAACAUGGCUUCAUUUUACUGGAGAAUUAAGAAUGAGCCAUAUCAGGUAGUAGAAUGUGCCAUGCGAGCACUUCACUUCUCUUCCAGGCACAAUAAAGACAUUGCCCUGGUCAACCUGGCAAACGUUCUACACAGAGCACACUUCUCUGCUGAUGCUGCUGUCGUGGUCCAUGCAGCUCUGGAUGACAGUGACUUCUUCACCAGCUAUUACACUUUGGGGAAUAUAUAUGCAAUGCUUGGGGAAUAUAACCACUCAGUGCUCUGUUAUGACCACGCUUUGCAGGCCAGACCUGGGUUUGAGCAAGCUAUAAAGAGGAAGCAUGCUGUCCUAUGUCAGCAAAAACUGGAGCAGAAAUUGGAGGCUCAGCAUAGAUCUCUCCAGCGAACACUGAAUGAGUUAAAAGAGUAUCAAAAGCAGCAUGACCACUACCUGAGACAGCAGGAAAUCCUAGAAAAACAUAAACUGAUUCAGGAGGAGCAAAUCUUAAGAAAUAUCAUUCAUGAGACUCAGAUGGCAAAAGAGGCACAAUUAGGAAAUCAUCAGAUAUGCCGACUGGUCAACCAGCAGCAUAGUUUACAUUGCCAGUGGGACCAGCCUGUACGCUAUCAUCGUGGAGAUAUCUUUGAAAAUGUGGACUAUGUUCAGUUUGGUGAGGAUUCAUCAACCUCCAGUAUGAUGUCUGUGAACUUUGAUGUUCAAUCAAAUCAGAGUGAUAUCAAUGAUUCGGUCAAGUCUUCUCCCGUAGCCCAUUCUAUUCUCUGGAUUUGGGGCAGGGACUCUGAUGCAUAUAGGGACAAACAGCAUAUUCUAUGGCCUAAAAGAGCAGAUUGUACAGAAAGCUACCCUAGAGUCCCUGUUGGUGGGGAAUUGCCAACGUAUUUUCUGCCUCCGGAAAACAAAGGACUCAGGAUCCACGAACUCAGCAGUGAUGAUUAUUCUACAGAAGAAGAGGCCCAAACCCCUGACUGUUCCAUAACUGACUUCAGAAAAAGCCACACUCUGUCCUACUUAGUCAAAGAAUUAGAGGUUCGCAUGGAUCUGAAAGCCAAAAUGCCAGAUGACCAUGCACGAAAAAUUUUGCUUUCCCGUAUUAAUAACUAUACUAUCCCAGAAGAAGAAAUUGGGUCUUUCUUAUUUCAUGCUAUUAAUAAGCCAAAUGCUCCUAUCUGGCUCAUACUCAAUGAAGCUGGACUAUACUGGAGAGCAGUAGGAAAUAGCACUUUUGCUAUUGCCUGUCUUCAGAGGGCUUUGAAUUUAGCUCCACUUCAAUACCAAGAUGUUCCUCUUGUCAACUUGGCCAACCUUUUGAUUCAUUACGGCCUUCAUCUUGAUGCCACUAAGCUGCUACUUCAAGCUUUGGCCAUCAAUAGCUCUGAGCCUCUGACCUUUUUGAGCCUGGGAAAUGCUUACCUUGCUCUGAAGAAUAUCAGUGGGGCACUUGAGGCCUUUAGACAGGCCUUGAAAUUAACCACCAAAUGUCCAGAGUGUGAAAACAGCCUGAAGUUGAUCCGCUGUAUGCAGUUUUAUCCUUUUCUGUACAACAUCACUUCUUCUGUUUGCAGUGGUAAUUGUCAUGAGAAAACCCUGGACAACAGCCAUGACAAACAGAAAUAUUUUGACAACUCACAGUCACUGGAUGCUGCUGAAGAAGAGCCCUCUGAGAGAGGAACAGAGGAGGACCCUGUAUUCUCUGUUGAGAAUUCAGGGAGGGACUCAGAUGCCCUUAGACUUGAAAGUACGGUGGUUGAGGAGAGCAAUGGUUCUGAUGAGAUGGAGAAUUCAGAUGAAACCAAAAUGUCAGAAGAAAUACUGGCUUUGGUGGAUGAAUUUCAACAGGCAUGGCCUUUGGAAGGCUUUGGGGGUGCACUAGAGAUGAAAGGGCGGCGUCUAGACUUACAAGGAAUACGGGUGCUGAAGAAAGGUCCCCAGGAUGGAGUGGCCAGAAGCUCUUGCUAUGGAGACUGCAGAAGUGAAGAUGAUGAAGCAACAGAAUGGAUUACAUUCCAGGUCAAACGUGUAAAGAAACCCAAAGGAGAUCAUAAGAAAACUCCUGGGAAAAAAGUAGAAACAGGUCAGAUAGAAAAUGGACAUCGUUACCAAGCAAACCUAGAGAUCACUGGCCCCAAGGUGGCAUCUCCUGGGCCACAAGGGCUACUAGACUGGAAGACCAGGAAAGUGCCAUAGACAUAAUGUAACUGGAUUUCAGCAAGGCAUUUAACAGAGCCUCUUAUGAUAUCCUUGUGAACCAGAUGGAGAGAUGUGGGCUUGAAGCCUUCCCAUUGCCUACAGGAUAAAAUUCAAACUUCCUAGUGUGGUGUACAAGACCCUUUACAGCCCGCCUCUGUGUACCCUUCAACACCAUUCUCUGAACCAACCAUGCUCAUGUUUUUACCUCAGUGCCUUUGCACAUGCUAUUCCCUCUGCCUGGAAUGCCCUGUGCCCCCUCUGCCCUCUGCCGUGCUAAAAUAUCACUCAUCCUUAAACUUCAAAAUCAAGUGCCAUCUCUUCCUUGUUACCUUCAGGCAGAAUUAGUUACUCUUUCCUCUGUGCAAUUGUUCUAUAUCUUCGCUCUAGCUCUUUUCCUGUUGUAUUGUAAUGAUUUGUUUAUGUUUACCUUCCUUACUAGACUGUGAGCUCAAGAGCAGGCCGUCUUAAUUAUUCCUUUCUGUACCCCUAGUGUCUUUUAUGGUUCUCAGCCCCUUAUAACAGGUGCUCAAUAAAUAUUUUUCAAAUGAAAUUAUUAAAUGUAAAAGAAAAUUAAGAUUUUUUGUGAAAAUUAUGGCUUAUUUAAGUUAUUAAUUUAAACAGAGUUAAUUUGAAACUCUUCCAAAACUGUUCCUUUCUGUUUUGUUAAAAUCUCAAUCUAAACCCCUGCCUGUACCUCAAACAGUUUUCUACUGUUCGUAAAUUCCUAUAAUAUAAAAAGCGCUAUACAGAACUAAAGUUCUCCUUCCUGCCUAUUCCAUUAUAACUCCUUCAGAAAACCCUUCCCAGACAAGACAGUUCUGCUCUUUUCUUGGGGAUUUGAUGUAAGUAAAGGGCCCACACCCAAAAGGUGGUACUUACGAAGGAUAUUAAUAAACAGAGCUUUAAAUUUUUUUGUAGCUUUAAAUAGCUUGUUGAUUGGGAACAUACACGUUAGAGUCAAACAGACUCCUAGCUCUGCCAGUUGCUAGCCAGGUGACCUGGACAAGUCACUUAGUCUCUCUGAGUCUCUGUUUUCUCAUCUGAGAAAUGAGGGUUAAAACCUACUUCAGGCCAGAUGCAGUGGCUCACAUCUGUAAUCCCAGCACUUUGGGAGGCCAGGGUGGGAGGAUCACUUGAGUCCAGGAGGUUAAGGCUCCAGAAAGCUAGUAUCAUGCCACGGCACUCUAGCCUGGGCAAGAAAGCAAGGUGCUGUCUCUAACUUAAAAAAAGAAAAAUGGAAAAAACUUAACCACAUGAGGUUAAAAAAAGAAAAAUGGAAAAAACUUAACCACAUGAGGUUAAGGAUGUAAAGCACUUAGCAUGGGAUCUGAAUACACAGGAAGUGCUCUUCAAAUAGUUGAUAACCAGGCUGGUUCUUGGACUGUGGUGGUGUGGUGGGGGCUGGGAGGAGAUGAUAAUCUUUCAUUAACAUCAUUACUCCCUGCUGCUCUUCUUUAUAGUAGUGGUUCUCUCUACUGGGUGUGGACAUUUGGCAAUAUCUGGAGACAUUUUUGUUGUUAUAUCUGGGGAACAGUGCUACCACCAUCCAGUGGGUGAAGGCCAAAGAUGAUGCUAAACACCCUCCAAUGCACAGGACAGGUCCCUCAAAAAAUUAUCCAGCCCAAAAUGCCAAUAAUACCAGGUUGAGAAACCCUGCUUUAGAGAUAAAUGUUUCUACUAAGUUGGAGUUGUCUUUAUAAAAUCAAAAUACAGAGGGGCAAAAAUUAAGUUUGGUAAGAAUGUUAACAUUGAAGAAUGCCUUAACCCCUUAUUUCAUGUUGAUCAAUCUUAAAUCUAGCAAAGGACUCAUUUAUUCUUACUUCUCCACCUAUCUUUACUCAGAGAUGAUCUUUAGUUCCAUUGCAUAAUGACGAGAUUUUAAUUAGAUCAUAGAUGGGGGAAAUGUUAAAGACUACAGGAAUGACUAGCACCUCCAAAUACACCAAUCCAGGUGAAGUAAUCACCAGGGCAUAAGGCCCUUUGGGUUCUCUUCCUUUGCAAUUGUGUGGAUUCAUGGCAUACUUUCCUUCCAGGAAAAAAACGUGACUACCAGCGUCUGGGAUGGCCCAGCCCGGACGAAUGCCUCAAACUCCGCUGGGUAGAGCUGACUGCCAUCGUGAGUACCUGGCUUGCAGUUUCUUCAAAAAACAUUGACAUCACAGAACACAUAGAUUUUGCCACCCCUAUACAGCAGCCAGCAAUGGAGCCUCUUUGCAAUGGCAAUCUCCCCACGAGUAUGCAUACCCUGGACCACUUGCAUGGGGUUUCCAACCGAGCCAGCCUGCACUACACAGGGGAGAGUCAGUUAACAGAGGUAUUACAAAAUCUCGGCAAAGACCAAUAUCCACAACAGUCGCUUGAACAGAUUGGCACCCGAAUUGCCAAAGUUUUGGAAAAGAACCAGACGUCCUGGGUCCUCUCCAGCAUGGCAGCCCUCUACUGGAGGGUGAAAGGCCAAGGAAAGAAGGCAAUCGACUGCCUCCGCCAGGCUCUGCACUAUGCGCCACACCAGAUGAAGGAUGUGCCCCUGAUUAGCCUGGCCAACAUCUUGCACAAUGCCAAGCUCUGGAAUGACGCCGUCAUAGUAGCCACCAUGGCAGUAGAGAUCGCACCACACUUUGCUGUGAACCACUUCACUCUGGGCAAUGUCUACGUGGCAAUGGAAGAAUUUGAAAAAGCACUGGUGUGGUAUGAAUCCACAUUGAAGCUUCAGCCCGAGUUUGUCCCAGCCAAGAACCGAAUCCAGACCAUCCAGUGUCACUUAAUGCUGAAGAAGGGACGGCGCUCUCCUUAGUGCACUUCUUCCUUCUCUCUUUCUCUUUACUCAUGCUCUAAAAAAAAAGAAUAAGAAAAGAAACCAAUCAUUGUCAGUAUCUACUAUUAAUGAUGUGUGUGAAAAUAACUAAGACUUAUAACAGGACUUUUACAUAUGUGGGAAUUGGUUUGUUUUUGUUUUUACGUUUCUCCUUUCCCCCAACCAACCUCAGAAGAGGCACCUUCAGAAACACACAUUUCUUAAAAGGAAAGUGCAGCUUCAAGAUAUUGUGUAAAUACUGAGCCAAGACAUUUCUGGAGCUGUGCUCUGUCUCCAAAAACCUCAAUGCCUUUAGGGCUUUUCUCAGUGGUCCAGCUAGCCUUCUCUUUGGAGGAGGAUGAAGCCGCAUUGCACAUUCUCUGCUUCCUGUCGUAGCCUCUGUUGUCAAUGGAAAUGCGGAAGCCCAUCUGGUGCCCGUCAGUGAGAAGCAACGUUCUGCGCUCUCUCCGUUAGACCUCCAUGCUGUCCCCAGUCUUGUCCAUUCCAUGCUGCUGUGUUACAAACUCUCAGAGGUAGUUUGCAGGGGAGGAAGGGGAAUAUGAUUUUAAAAACAAAAUAUUUACAACAACAAAAAUUCUUAGGAUCACCUGACCUUUGUAAUGUUAUUUAUGUUGGGGAGGGAGGGGGGCUGAGAAGGGGAAAUCAGCAGUGUGCAACAUCUUUAUAAUUUGUACUUUAAUUACAAAUCACAAGGAAACCAAUAAGUUGAAAUCCUAUAUAACAGGUUUAUAUAUAUAGAAUAUGUAUAUUUGAAGCCCUCUACAGACUGAGUCUAUGUUUUACUAAUUCUUUGUUCACUGUGUUACCCAUCUUGGAAUAAGUUGUGAAUGUCAGCUCCCUCUCUCUGAGGCCUCCAGACUUAGCUCCUCAGGAGGGUAAUGAGCCAAGGUUGAGUGUUUCCAUACAAUGCUUUUACCUUUGAUCCCAGGAGAAUCAGAAACUCCAACAUUUUGGAAUCUUCAAGGGCACAUACUGAGAAAAAAAAUAAAAUUGUUUAUGAGCAAAA